This 481-nucleotide ribosomal RNA is filed under the name Streptococcus sp. oral taxon C65. Its description in RNAcentral is "bacterial SSU rRNA". It matches the Rfam family "Bacterial small subunit ribosomal RNA", at positions 28 to 491 of the family's 1533-position model. Lineage: Bacteria; Bacillati; Bacillota; Bacilli; Lactobacillales; Streptococcaceae. The record is from RNAcentral.
GACGAACGCUGGCGGCGUGCCUAAUACAUGCAAGUAGAACGCUGAAGAGAGGAGCUUGCUCUUCUUGGAUGAGUUGCGAACGGGUGAGUAACGCGUAGGUAACCUGCCUUGUAGCGGGGGAUAACUAUUGGAAACGAUAGCUAAUACCGCAUAACAAUGGAUGACACAUGUCAUUUAUUUGAAAGGGGCAAUUGCUCCACUACAAGAUGGACCUGCGUUGUAUUAGCUAGUAGGUGAGGUAACGGCUCACCUAGGCGACGAUACAUAGCCGACCUGAGAGGGUGAUCGGCCACACUGGGACUGAGACACGGCCCAGACUCCUACGGGAGGCAGCAGUAGGGAAUCUUCGGCAAUGGGGGCAACCCUGACCGAGCAACGCCGCGUGAGUGAAGAAGGUUUUCGGAUCGUAAAGCUCUGUUGUAAGUCAAGAACGAGUGUGAGAGUGGAAAGUUCACACUGUGACGGUAGCUUACCAGAAAGG